GUACGGGAGGCAGCAGUGAGGAAUUUUGGUCAAUGGGGGAAACCCUGAACCAGCGACGCCGCGUGUGGGAUGAAGGGGCUUUGCCCUGUAAACCACUGUCGGAAGGGAAGAAAAGUCCCCUUUGGGGACUGGGACUGUACCUUAAAAGGAAGGAUCGGCUAACUACGUGCCAGCAGCCGCGGUAAUACGUAGGAUCCAAGCGUUGUCCGGAUUUACUGGGUGUAAAGGGUGCGCAGGCGGGCUUGUGCGUCAGAGGUUAAAUACAUCGGCUCAACCGAUGAGCUGCCUUUGAUACGGCAAGUCUUGAGUGCGAGAGAGGAUGGUGGAAUUCCUGGUGUAGCGGUGAAAUGCGUAGAUAUCAGGAGGAACACCAGUGGCGAAGGCGGCCAUCUGGCUCGCAACUGACGCUCAGGCACGAAAGCGUGGGGAGCAAACAGGAUUAGAUACCCUGGUAGC
RNAcentral lists this ribosomal RNA (456 nucleotides) under uncultured bacterium. RNAcentral describes it as "bacterial SSU rRNA". It matches the Rfam family "Bacterial small subunit ribosomal RNA", at positions 339 to 794 of the family's 1533-position model. The record is from RNAcentral.